CCUACGGGAGGCAGCAGUGGGGAAUAUUGGACAAUGGGCGAAAGCCUGAUCCAGCAAUGCCGCGUGAGUGAUGAAGGCCUUAGGGUUGUAAAGCUCUUUUACCAGGGAUGAAUAAUGACAGUACCUGGAGAAUAAGCUCCGGCUAACUCCGUGCCAGCAGCCGCGGUAAUACGGAGGGAGCUAGCGUUAUUCGGAAUUACUGGGCGUAAAGCGUACGUAGGCGGUUAUUCAAGUCAGAGGUGAAAGCCCGGGGCUCAACCCCGGAACUGCCUUUGAAACUAGAUAACUAGAGUCUUGGAGAGGUUAGUGGAAUUCCGAGUGUAGAGGUGAAAUUCGUAGAUAUUCGGAAGAACACCAGUGGCGAAAGGCGACUAACUGGACAAGUACUGACGCUGAGGUACGAAAGACGUGGGGAGCAAACAGGAUUAGAUACCCUGGUAGUCCACGCCGUAAACGAUGAUAACUAGCUGUCCGGGCACUUGGUGCCUGGGUGGCGCAGCUAACGCAUUAAGUUAUCCGCCUGGGGAGUACGGUCGCAAGAUUAAAACUCAAAGGAAUUGACGG
RNAcentral lists this ribosomal RNA (564 nucleotides) under uncultured bacterium. RNAcentral describes it as "bacterial SSU rRNA". It matches the Rfam family "Bacterial small subunit ribosomal RNA", at positions 338 to 916 of the family's 1533-position model. The record is from RNAcentral.